AUGGAUUCCGACUACGGCGUGCCGCGCGAGCUCUCGGAGGUGCAGCAGAACCGGACUCUCUACCAGCCCGAGCUGCCCCCCUGCCUCCAGGGCACUACUGUGAGGGUGGAGUAUGGUGAUGUGGCGAUCGCUGCUGAUCCCGCCGGCGCUCAUGUGAUCAGCCACGCGUACCCCCACACAUACGGGCAGCCACUGGCUCAUUUCCUCAGGAAGGCGGCUAAUGUUCCCGAUGCUAAAGUCAUAUCAGAGCACCCUGCCGUCAGGGUUGGUAUUGUGUUCUGUGGAAGGCAGUCCCCGGGAGGCCACAAUGUCAUAUGGGGACUCCAUGAGGCCAUCAAAGCUCACAACGUGAACAGCAAACUUAUUGGUUUCCUUGGAGGAACCGACGGUCUUCUUGCACAAAAAACCUUGGAGAUCACAAAUGAAGUUCUUUCUUCCUACAAAAACCAAGGUGGUUAUGAUAUGCUUGGUCGGACUAAGGAUCAAAUCAGAACAACAGAGCAAGUCAAUGGUGCAAUGGCUACUUGCCAGGCUUUGAAGUUGGAUGCUCUUGUAAUAAUCGGAGGUGUCACAUCAAAUACAGAUGCUGCUCAACUUGCUGAGACUUUUGCUGAGGCAAAGUGCGCAACAAAGGUUGUAGGUGUUCCUGUAACUUUGAAUGGGGACCUUAAGAACCAGUUUGUUGAGACAACUGUUGGUUUCGAUACCAUAUGCAAGGUGAACUCGCAACUUAUAAGCAAUAUGUGCACUGAUGCUCUAUCUGCUGAGAAGUAUUACUAUUUCAUCCGUAUGAUGGGAAGGAAGGCUUCUCAUGUGGCAUUGGAGUGUGCUCUUCAAUCGCAUCCAAAUAUGGUUAUCCUUGGCGAGGAGGUUGCAGCAUCAAAACUCACAAUUUUUGAUAUCACAAAGCAGAUAUGUGAUGCAGUUCAGGCGAGAGCUGAAAAAGACAAGAAUCAUGGAGUUAUACUUAUUCCUGAGGGCCUUGUGGAGAGUAUUCCUGAAUUAUAUGCUCUUCUACAGGAAAUUAAUGGCCUCCAUGGUAAAGGUGUUUCCGUUGAGAAUAUCUCUUCUCAACUUUCACCUUGGGCAUCUGCGCUAUUUGAGUUUUUGCCCCAAUUUAUUAGGCAGCAGCUGCUUCUCCGUCCUGAAUCUGAUGACUCAGCUCAACUUUCUCAGAUUGAAACCGAAAAGCUUCUAGCUCAAUUGGUUGAGACCGAAAUGAACAAACGUUUGGUUCUGGGACAUGUGUGCUACCACAUCUUGGCAGCUGGUUUGAACGGUUACAUGGCUACUGUGACAAAUCUUAAGAGUCCCCUGAACAAGUGGCGAUGUGGUGCUGCUCCUAUUUCGUCCAUGAUGACCGUGAAGCGAUGGUCACGUGGCCCUGCAACCACACAAAUCGGGAAGCCAGCUGUGCAUAUGGCUAGCGUUGACUUGAGAGGAAAAGCAUACGAGAUGUUGAGGCAGAAUUCAUCCAGCUGCUUGCUGGAAGACAUCUACAGAAACCCUGGGCCACUCCAAUUCGAAGGGCCAGGUGCUGAUGCCAAGCCUAUUUCACUGUGCGUCGAGGAUCAAGACUACAUGGGCAGGAUCAAGAAAUUGCAGGAAUACUUGGAGAAGGUGAAGAGCAUAGUGAAGCCUGGGUGCUCGCAGGAUGUUCUCAAGGCGGCACUGAGUGCCAUGUCUUCGGUGACGGAGACACUGGCUAUCAUGACUUCCUCUUCCACUGGCCAGCCCCCACUCUGA
RNAcentral lists this ribosomal RNA (1746 nucleotides) under Triticum aestivum (bread wheat). RNAcentral's name for it is "partial small subunit ribosomal RNA". The record is from RNAcentral. Lineage: Eukaryota; Viridiplantae; Streptophyta; Magnoliopsida; Poales; Poaceae.